CCAGACUCCCAAGAGCCAGGUGAUGGUCUGGGAGCGAGGAGAGGGGGUGGGAGGAACCAGAACCCAGCACCCAAGCCCAGGAAGCAGUCGCAAACCGGGGCCCGGGGGCGCAGCAAAGGGAAGCGGAAGCCCGGCCGUGGCAGCCGAGGAGGGAAACGGAAGAAGCCGGGCCCGGGAGGACCGGGUGCGAGCCGGAAACCCGCCGGGAAGGGCCGAGGCGGGGGAGCCGGGCCGGGGAGGGCCGAGGCGGCGCCCGGAGCUCGGGCCGAGAGCUCGGGCUGGAGCCGCAGCCGGCGGAGGCUCGGUUCGCUCAGGCCUGUGCGUGCGGGACCCGGGGUCCGCGGUCGUGGACCAGGUGACGGAUGGUUUUAUAUAUUAUGAAUAAAGCUGGCAUGUUUCUGUUUCUCCUGGGGAAAUACCUAGAAGAAAACAUGCUGGGUAAUAGGUACAGGGCAAGAAGAAAUUGCAGAAGAAAUUUUUUAAGAAGAGAGACAUAAAAAAAUGGAUGCCUGUCCCUGCUCCCCCUACAAACACAUAAAAUGCCAUCUAAACUAUAACAAAAUGUCUUAAAAAUGGUCAAGUUUGAGAGAAAAGAAAAAAGGAAAAUUCUGCAUCCAGAAACAAAGAGCUGAAUCAAAACAGUGCAUGUAAAGGUAACCUUGAGCCGACGCCUCAGAAACCCCAAAGAGAUUUUAAUCCCACAUGUAAUGCUUAAGAGUCCUGACUGAGGUCUGGGGUUCUACUUUCUACACAGGAACAGGGGGCAGAGAGCUGAAACUAAGAUGCUGCUUAGUUCUAUAAAAUAUUUCUAGAAAAAUGCUACUCACUGGCCCAAAGAGAUGAGGGAACUUGCAGUCUCUGGGUUUUUUUAGGGGUGUUGUGAGAGUGAGGAACUCACCCAUGAGACUUGGAAACUCUAGGACUUUACCUGGAAAUGUGGGAUAUAAAUAUUCAAUUUUAUACGACAUGGGUGAUAUAGAAAUUCUAAGCUAAGAAAUUAACUUAAAAACUGGCCCAGAAAAAUAUAUACAUAAGUAUAAGAAAGUUGGCAUUGCUAUAGUAAUAUCAGACAGUAGACCUCAAGUCAAUGUGUAUUACAAAAGAUAGAGAUGUAACAUAAUCAAAAAAGCGAUUCAUUAGGAAUGUGUAUGCAUAUAUCUGUUCAUCAGGAAUAUGUAUGCUGCUAUGAACUCAUUAUGAGAGCAUUAAAUUUCAUGAAGCAAAAACUGUGAGAACAAAAGAGAGAAAUAGACAAUCCACAAUUACAGUUGGAAAUCCAUAAUCAUAUCUCAGUAAUUGAUAGAACUUAUAGGCAGAGUAUGCAGUAGUAUACAGAAGAUGUUAACAACACAGUCAGUCAACAUGACCUAAUUGAUGUUUACAGAAGACUACAUGCCACAACUGAGAAAUUACAUUUGUUUCCUCUACAUGGACAUUCUCCAAGACGGACACUGUUUGAGACAAUAAAAUAAAUCUCAAUAAAUUUCAAAAGAUUGAAAUAUUA
Non-coding RNA from Equus caballus (horse), 1504 nucleotides. The record is from RefSeq and is a predicted model, not a curated record. Lineage: Eukaryota; Metazoa; Chordata; Mammalia; Perissodactyla; Equidae.